AGGAUUUCACCUGCAUGGUCAAUUUUUACCUAGAAUGGGGCUAUGCCUGCAUUAAUUUGUCACCAGUGGAAUAUAAAUGUGUGCCUGCCGAGAAUGAUUGAUUUUGACGAGGAGCAGUGGGUUAUUCAGAAAAUUGGAAACCAAAACCCCGGAAGUCUGUAUUUCUCAGCACCGAUAGCUCCUUCCUAGCCAGGUGACAGGAGAAGAGCUGCUACCUGCCACACCAAAAGUGUCCUUACGUCCAUCCCUCCUGAGAAGGUGACCCUUCUGCAUCCUCCCCCGUAAAAGCUGCAAUUUCACCCUCCCACAGUAGGUCCUAGGACCACCCCAUCUGAGCCAGCUCCCACCUGCUGUUCUGAUCCAGGCAGAGGGGGCAGCCUGAGUGAAGACUGAGACAGGACAGAACGUGGCAUUUCUAGGGACUGGCGGACGGCCAAGGUGACCGGGACCCUGAGGGCUGGGGAAAGCGGCACAAGGAAAGCACUCGAAGCAGCAGAUGAAUCUCACAUUCACGGUUCAGGCCCUGCCAGGAGGUCCCUGCACUGGACAGGACUUGGAAGCGGGGACUAAGGCAGGCCCUGCAUCUGGAGGGCAUUAAGUCCACAAGAUGAGGACUCAGAGAGGGCGGAGACUUGCCCAAGGUCACACAGUAUGAGCUGCAGGUCAGACUGGACCAAAGUCUCUGAUGCCAUGACAAAGGCAGGGCCUCCGUCAUGCCUUCGGAGUAAUGAUACGCUUGCUUUGCUCCUAAAAUACCUUGUAAUUCAGACUUCAUUUUCUCCCAGUGAUGUCUAAGUAGUGAGGUUUGUUCCAGGGCUACUAGCCCCAGCUUGCACCGAUGACUCCUCCGGGCAGGAACGUAUGCACGCAGGCAGGCAGGGGCGCUGGGGUGCUGUCAGGUCCUGCUCGUUUCACGACCACAGCAGCGCAGCUCUCCCAGCAAAAGCAUGAAGGAUGGUGCAAGAUUGAGACGACGCACUCAAGGCGUUCCUCCCGCCUCCCAGACCCGAUAUUGCUCAUCCACCAGGCCCGGCCGUCAUCCUUAAUCUGCAGCCUGAGAGAGGCCUUGCGGGCCCUCCCCGCUAGCAUCGUUCUUGUUGAACCUAUUAGGCUGUUGUUGUCUGCAGCAAACAGCUGAUGCCUCAUGGAAGAUUUAGCAUUUGCUCGGCCCCCCUUCCAUUGAUCUUGUAGUUUGUACAUUUUCUCUUUUUUUAAUAAGCAGGGGCACUUACUGGAAAACUAGAUCUCAGUCACACAGUGGUUUUCAUAUGUUCCUUCUGUUCAUAACCCACCUGGAGUCAGAAUCCUGUCUGUGUGACAGAACAAUUGGUUGCUAUGGAAAUGACUGUACCACCUGGGCUGUGGGCUGCUCCGAAGAGAAGCGGAGGAGCAGCAGCGCUGCACGCGGGAGGGUCGGGGAGGGAGGCGGGUUGCAGACUCCCGGUGCGAUCUCUUAAACUAGAGUCCGAUUUCUUGAGCCCAACCCCUCUGCUCCUUCUUCUCCUGAACCUCUGCGUGUGGCUUCAUGUCCCCACACCCCGGCCCCCACCACCAAUCCCUCCACCCGAGCAUGGAAUUUUCCCUACCUUCUCUUGCCUGCCUCCAAGUCCAGGUGAGGGCCGCCUGCUCACUAGGUGGUUAACCACACCUGGCCAACCCCAUCUCUAAUCUAAACAUCCCAACACCAGUGACUUUGCCCUUAAUUUAUUUGAAUGGAAACACUUGCUUGGUGUCUCAUUAUGCUCUUUCUCCCCUUCUCAGGCUCCUCUGCUUUCUCUUCCCAACAGAAUCCGGCCCCAUGAGAGCACACCUGGGCCCGUGGGGCGCCUCCCCCAGGCGGGGCUCUGCUGACCAGGCUGCUCCCUGACCCCCAGAGAGAGGACAGAUCCCACCCCGCACCCACCCCUCGCCUGUCCCAGUCAAUCUACUUGAUCUUACUUCUUGAGGACAAAUACACCUGCAGCGAUAGGCAAACUGGACAGCUCUGGAUAUCACUGUGAACAGUUGACAACUGAAUGAGAGGGGGAAAAAAAAAAUCAAGCUUCUGUUGCCUCAAAUACCCUCAGAUGAGGAAGAAUGAAAAAAGCGGUGCUUCGUUA
Non-coding RNA from Sus scrofa (pig), 2099 nucleotides. NCBI's taxonomy places the organism in Eukaryota, Metazoa, Chordata, Mammalia, Artiodactyla, Suidae. The record is from RefSeq and is a predicted model, not a curated record.